AAUCUUUUAGUUUAAUAAAAACGUAUAUUUUGAAAAUAUAAGUCAAGAAUUAGAAUUCUUAUAGGUUU
RNAcentral lists this transfer RNA (68 nucleotides) under Euborellia annulipes. RNAcentral describes it as "tRNA-Ser". It matches the Rfam family "tRNA". Rfam says of the family: Transfer RNA (tRNA) molecules are approximately 80 nucleotides in length. Lineage: Eukaryota; Metazoa; Arthropoda; Insecta; Dermaptera; Anisolabididae. The record is from RNAcentral.